This 527-nucleotide long non-coding RNA is filed under the name Brassica napus (rape). RNAcentral's name for it is "long non-coding RNA (BNAP_LNC017810)". The record is from RNAcentral. Lineage: Eukaryota; Viridiplantae; Streptophyta; Magnoliopsida; Brassicales; Brassicaceae.
AGGUAUUUUCUUUUGAAUCAUGGAUUCAAGAUUUGUCUAUAAUUCAAAAAUAUUUGUGUAGGUAGAGACAUGUUCAAAAAGAGAUCGGUCGACAUACUUGCAUAUUAUGGCAACCGACUUUCUAUUAAGAAUCUCUCAUGCUUUAUCAUCCUUUCCUUCCGGCUUAUCCUUCAUGAUGAUGGGCUCAUGCAAAUCCUUGCAAUAAAGGUGAUCUUCCAUCAUCGGUUUCCAAUAAGAGAAGUUCUCCGUGAGCUUGAACAUGUCACCUUCAAAGGUAACGGUGGCCUCCAUCUUCACUUCUUCAACGAUAACGGUAACUCGGCUCUGAUGGGAAAGUUAGCAGAUAAUAUUUUCUUCGAGAGGUUAAGAUGGAAAGUGGACGGUUAGUGUUUAAGAUAGCCUUCGUAUUUUAGAAAGAGAUUUUCUACUAAGGCUUGUGUUUAGAGAUUCUUUUUGAAACUUUCUAAAAUAUUUUCUUUCUAUUGUUUUGCUUGAUUCUUGGAUGAUUACAAGUGAACUAGACAUCC